UGCAGGGACCGCCUGGUGCCCCAAGCUCCUUAUGGCCCUAGUGAAUCUCUCAGGGAUGGGUAGCUGACAACCAAGCAAAUCAGAGUCCUCUCUGGAACUUGUCUGGCAAAAUUCUCAAGGAGGAUCCACUCUGUACGUGAAGGAUAUUAUGAGUGUAUUUGUAUAUUUUUAAAUAUGGACUUCGCACUCUAGAGAAGCCUGGAAGAAUGGAGGAAGAGGGGAGUGCUUUACAACUCCAUCCAUCUGUGAUGGUUAAUGAAGAAGGAAGAAAGAAGAAGAAAGAAGAAGAAGAAGAAGAAGAAGAAGAAGAAGAAGAAGAAGAAGAAGAAGAAGAAGAAGAAGAAGAAGAAGAAGAAUCUCACAGAGCUGAGGGUCUGAGAUAGAGGGACCAGGGCUGCAAAGAGGCAAAGGUGGAGAGGUCAGUUCUACCUGGUAAUGUUUCAAGAGAACUCUUCCGAUAAAAGUGUGAGCUGAGUCCUAACAAAUGAGUGAACUCUUUAUUCAUUUAUCUGUCUCCCCAGGACAGUGUGGUAGUAGUAGAACAAAACAGAGGAACUGGAAAUAGACCCGCCCAAACAUGACCAUGUGAUUUUUUACAAAGGUGCAAAAGCAAUUCAAUGGAAGAAGGAUGAUCUUUUCAACACAUGGUGCUGGAACAACUGGAUGUCCAUAAACCAACAAAAAGAAAAAAAAUAACUUUGGCGUAAACNAAAAGCAAUUCAAUGGAAGAAGGAUGAUCUUUUCAACACAUGGUGCUGGAACAACUGGAUGUCCAUAAACCAACAAAAAGAAAAAAAAUAACUUCGGCGUAAAGCUCUCACUUUCUAUAACAACAAUGAAAUUCAAAUAGAUGAUACUCCUAAAUGAAAAAUAUAAAACUUUAUUUUUUUUUNCUCACUUUCUAUAACAACAAUGAAAUUCAAAUAGAUGAUACUCCUAAAUGAAAAGCAUAAAACUUUAUUUAUUUUUUUUUAAAUUAUUUAUUUAUUUAUGAUAGUCACACACACAGAGAGAGAGGCAGAGACAUAGGCAGAGGGAGAAGCAGGUUCCAUGCACCGGGAGCCCGACGUGGGAUUCGAUCCUGGGUCUCCAGGAUCGCGCCCUGGGCCAAAGGCAGGCGCCAAACCGCUGCGCCACCCAGGGAUCCCAAAACUUUAAAGAAGAAAACAUAGCAGAAAAUCCUUGGAAUCUGAGGUUAGCAAAGAGUUCUCAGGGCCCCAAAGAUUAAAAUUGUUAAAUUGGGCUUCAGCACAAUUUAGAAGUUUUGGUCUGUGAAAACAGUUAAGAAAAAGACAAACUACGUAUCUGAGAAUCACAUAGCUGACUGAGGGGCCUUGCAUCUAGAAUAUAUCAAGAACUCCCAAAAAUCAGCAAGGAAGCAAA
This 1383-nucleotide long non-coding RNA is filed under the name Vulpes vulpes (red fox). Its description in RNAcentral is "lncRNA (ENSVVUG00000002904.1)". The record is from RNAcentral. Lineage: Eukaryota; Metazoa; Chordata; Mammalia; Carnivora; Canidae.